UAGCUUCUGCUGUUGUUGUGGAGUUGAACAAUUUGGCUGGUGAAGUGUUAAAGCCCUCCAAUAUUUCGGUUUCGGGUCUUCUAGUCUUCAAAGGCUGUUAUGCUGAAAGUACCAGUGGUAGUUUGUCUUGAAGGCACAAACGUGAUCAGAAAAGAGCACGACUUCACUCUUUUGUUCAACUUCUAAGUCCAAGGCGUUUACCAGACACUAUGUAAAAGAAAAAAAGUUUUUAUUUUUAUUUUUUAUAGAAGAAGAAACUAAACUCAAAGUCUGACACUUCAACUUUGGGGAGUGUCAAAGUUCACAUCUUUCCUGGUUGUGUUAAAUUGAGGUACUUUUGAUGAUCUCUCUUCAUUUUACCUUCUGGGUAUUCCUUUAUUUUGGUAAACAAGUUGUGUGUAUCUUUGAAAAUCAGCAGCUAUUUCAUGGUUUAGUUGUGGGUCUCUGUGUCUUAGAGUUUCAUGGGUUUUGAAUGAUUUUUGGAGUUUUUGUGUGUUUUGGGUGUAACUGAUUGGUGAAUUGUAAAAAGGGUCUUAAUUUAAUUUGAGUUAUGGUGUACUUUUUAAAAGGAGACUAGUUUGGAAAUACUGAGAAAAUUGGAUAUGGAAUUUUAGCGGUUACUUUUCUUUUC
Quercus lobata is the source of this 631-nucleotide long non-coding RNA. RefSeq lists it as uncharacterized. NCBI's taxonomy places the organism in Eukaryota, Viridiplantae, Streptophyta, Magnoliopsida, Fagales, Fagaceae. The record is from RefSeq and is a predicted model, not a curated record. The transcript has 2 exons.